AUAUCAAUAAGCGGAGGAAAAGAAACCAACAGGGAUUGCCUCAGUAACGGCGAGUGAAGCGGCAAAAGCUCAAAUUUGAAAUCUGGCACCGUUAGGUGUCCGAGUUGUAAUUUGGAGAGGAUACUUCGGGUGUGGCUACGGCGUAAGUCCCUUGGAACAGGGCGUCAUAGAGGGUGAGAAUCCCGUCUUAAGUCGUUUGUCCAUGCCCAUGCGAAGUUCCUUCGACGAGUCGAGUUGUUUGGGAAUGCAGCUCUAAGUGGGUGGUAAAUUUCAUCUAAAGCUAAAUAUUGGCCGGAGACCGAUAGCGAACAAGUAGAGUGAUCGAAAGGUUAAAAGCACCUUGAAAAGGGAGUUAAAUAGCACGUGAAAUUGUUGAAAGGGAAGCGCUUGCAACCAGACUCGGUCAUAGGGGCUCAGCGAGCAUGCGUGCUCGUGUACUCCCCUGUGUUCGGGCCAGCAUCAGUUCUGGCGGUUGGUUAAAGGCCCUUGGAAUGUAUCGUCCUCCGGGACGUCUUAUAGCCAAGGGUGUAAUGCAGCCAGCCGGGACUGAGGAACGCGCUUCGGCACGGAUGCUGGCGUAAUGGUUGUAAGCGGCCCGUCUUGAAACACGGACCAAGGAGUCUAACAUCCACGCGAGUGUUCGGGUGUUAAACCCGUGCGCGCAGUGAAAGCGAACGGAGGUGGGAGCCCUUUAGGGUGCACCAUCGACCGAUCCUGAAGUCUUCGGAUGGAUUUGAGUAAGAGCGUGGCUGUUGGGACCCGAAAGAUGGUGAACUAUGCCUGAAUAGGGUGAAGCCAGAGGAAACUCUGGUGGAGGCUCGCAGCGGUUCUGACGUGCAAAUCGAUCGUCAAAUUUGGGUAUAGGGGCGAAAGACUAAUCGAACCAUCUGGUAGCUGGUUCCUGCC
RNAcentral lists this ribosomal RNA (906 nucleotides) under Aphanoascus fulvescens. Its description in RNAcentral is "LSU rRNA". It matches the Rfam family "Eukaryotic large subunit ribosomal RNA", at positions 40 to 962 of the family's 3401-position model. Lineage: Eukaryota; Fungi; Ascomycota; Eurotiomycetes; Onygenales; Onygenaceae. The record is from RNAcentral.